RNAcentral lists this ribosomal RNA (428 nucleotides) under uncultured bacterium. RNAcentral describes it as "bacterial SSU rRNA". It matches the Rfam family "Bacterial small subunit ribosomal RNA", at positions 39 to 455 of the family's 1533-position model. The record is from RNAcentral.
GGCCGCGGGAAUUCGAUUCAGGCCUAACACAUGCAAGUCGAACGGCAGCACGGGAGCUUGCUCCUGGUGGCGAGUGGCGAACGGGUGAGUAAUACAUCGGAACGUACCCAGUAGUGGGGGAUAACGCACCGAAAGGUGCGCUAAUACCGCAUACGACCUACGGGUGAAAGCGGGGGACCGUAAGGCCUCGCGCUAUUGGAGCGGCCGAUGUCUGAUUAGCUAGUUGGUGAGGUAAAGGCUCACCAAGGCUUCGAUCAGUAGCUGGUCUGAGAGGACGAUCAGCCACACUGGGACUGAGACACGGCCCAGACUCCUACGGGAGGCAGCAGUGGGGAAUAUUGGAAAGUGGGCGCAAGCCUGAUCCAGCCAUGCCGCGUGAGUUAGGGGGUCUUCGGAUUGUAAAGCUCUUUGGCGGGGACGAUAAUGAC